AGAGCGUAGGGAGGAUGCCUUGGCACUAGGCGCCGAAGAAGGACGUGACAAGCUGCGAAAAGCUGCGGGGAGCUGCAAAUGAGCCUUGAUCCGCAGAUAUCCGAAUGAGGAAACUCACUGACGGUAACACGUCAGUAUCCGUACAUGAACACAUAGUGUACAGGAAGGGAACCCGGAGAACUGAAACAUCUCAAUAUCCGGAGGAAGAGAAAGAAACAUCGAUUUCCUGAGUAGUGGUGAGCGAAAGGGAAAGAGCCCAAACCGAAGAAGUAGCAAUACGGAAUCGGGGUAAAGGACCGACAUCACGUGUAUCGAACGUAACCGAAUCGUCAGGAAAGGCGAGCCGAAGACGGUGACAGCCCGGUAGGUGAAACGGGAAGAUAUGCAGUCGGUAUCCGGAGUACCACAGGACACGAGGAAUCCGGUGGGAAGACAGCAGGACCAUCUGCUAAGGCUAAAUACGACCUAGUGACCGAUAGAGUAUAGUACCGAGAGGGAACGGUGAAAAGAACCCCGGGAGGGGAGUGAAAGAGAACCUGAAACCCUAUGCUUACAAGCAGACAGAGCACAACGGUAGUGAUACCAAGUGUGAUGUCGUACCUUUUGUAGAAUGGGCCGGCGAGUUACGAUUUGUAGCGAGGUUAAGGUAUUAAGUACCGGAGCCGAAGCGAAAGUGAGUCUUAAUAGGGCGAAUAAGUUGCAAGUCGUAGACCCGAAACUAGAUGACCUAUCCAUGGGCAGGUUGAAGCUGCGGUAAAACGCAGUGGAGGACCGAACACACGCCUGUUGAAAAAGUCGGUGAUGACCUGUGGAUAGCGGAGAAAUUCCAAACGAAUCUAGAGAUAGCUGGUUCUCCUCGAAAUAGCUUUAGGGCUAGCCUCUAUCGAUGUGUACCGAAGGUAGAGCUCUGUAUAGGCUAGGGGGCUUCACAGCUUACUGAACCUUAACAAACUGCGAAUAUCGGAUACACAAGGUAGGGAGUCAGACAGCGAGAGAUAAGUUCCGUUGUCAAAAGGGAAACAGCCCAGAUCCACAACUAAGGUCCCAAAGUACAGAUUAAGUGGUAAAGGAUGUGUCAUUGCAUAAACAACCAGGAUGUUGGCUCAGAAGCAGCCACACAUUCAAAGAGUGCGUAAUAGCUCACUGGUCGAGUGAUGAUGCGCCGAAGAUUACCGGGGCUAAAAUCUGACACCGAAGUUUGGGGAUGUAUGUAAAUACAUCGGUAGAGGAGCAAUGUAUGAAGGCAGAAGCCGUAUCGAAAGGGGCGGUGGACGACAUACAAGAGAGAAUGCCGGCAUAAGUAGCGAGAGCGGAGUGAGAAACUCCGCCGUCGAAAGUCUAAGGUUUCCUGGGGAAGGUUCGUCCACCCAGGGUAAGUCGGGACCUAAGUCGAGGGCGAAAGCCGUAGAUGAUGGACAACUGGUUGAUAUUCCAGUACUGCCGAAGACGUCUAAAUGAUGCAGUGACACGGAAGGAUAGUCGGGGCGCAUUGAUGGAAAGGUGCGUUCAAAUCAUGAGACCGAUAUGUAGUGAAGUACGCAUAUCAAGGUUAGGUGAUGAUGAGGAGUCCGAAGGACGAAGCCGAUGAAUUCACGCCGGCGAGAAAAGCUGCUAAAUAAGUCAAAAGGCACCCGUACCGCAAACCGACACAGGUAGACGAGGAGAAAAUCCUAAGACGAACGGGAGAACCCUUGUUAAGGAACUCUGCAAAAUGACCCCGUAACUUCGGGAGAAGGGGUGCCUAUGAAAAUAGGUCACAGAAAAGAGGCUCAAGCGACUGUUUACCAAAAACACAGGUCUCUGCGAAAUCGAAAGAUGACGUAUAGGGGCUGACACCUGCCCAGUGCUGGAAGGUUAAGAGGAAGUGUUAGCAGCAAUGCGAAAACUAUAACGGUCCUAAGGUAGCGAAAUUCCUUGUCGGGUAAGUUCCGACCCGCACGAAUGGUGUAACGAUUUGAGCGCUGUCUCAACAGGGGGCCCGGCGAAAUUGUAGUAUACGUGAAGAUGCGUAUUACCCGCGACUGGACGGAAAGACCCCGUAGAGCUUUACUGUAACUUGAUAUUGAAUUUCGGUACUUAAUGUACAGGAUAGGUGGGAGACUGAGAAGUACAGGCGUCAGCCUGUAUGGAGUCACCGUUGGGAUACCACCCUUUAAUUAUUGGGAUUCUAACGAUAGACCGUAAUCCGGCUAUCGGACAGUGUCAGGUGGGCAGUUUGACUGGGGCGGUCGCCUCCCAAAAUGUAACGGAGGCGUUCAAAGGUUCCCUCAGAAUGGUUGGAAAUCAUUCGCAGAGUGUAAAGGUAUAAGGGAGCUUGACUGAGAGACAGACAUGUCGACCAGAUACGAAAGUAGGACUUAGUGAUCCGGCGGUAGAGAAUGGAAUUGCCGUCGCUUAGCGGAUAAAAGUUACCUCGGGGAUAACAGGCUUAUCUCCCCCAAGAGUUCACAUCGACGGGGAGGUUUGGCACCUCGAUGUCGGCUCGUCACAUCCUGGGGCUGUAGUCGGUCCCAAGGGUUCGGCUGUUCGCCGAUUAAAGUGGCACGCGAGCUGGGUUCAGAACGUCGUGAGACAGUUCGGUCCCUAUCCAUCGUGGGCGUAGGAUAUUUGAAAGGCGCUGUCCCUAGUACGAGAGGACCGGGAUGGACAUACCUAUUGUGCACCAGUUGUCACACCAGUGGCACAGCUGGGUAGCGAUGUAUGGAUUGGAUAAACGCUGAAGGCAUCUAAGCGUGAAACCAACCUUAAGAUUAGAUAUCCCAUAUCAUAAGAUAGUAAGACCCCUUGA
This 2788-nucleotide ribosomal RNA is filed under the name uncultured Eubacteriales bacterium. RNAcentral describes it as "bacterial LSU rRNA". It matches the Rfam family "Bacterial large subunit ribosomal RNA". Lineage: Bacteria; Bacillati; Bacillota; Clostridia; Eubacteriales. The record is from RNAcentral.